RNAcentral lists this ribosomal RNA (676 nucleotides) under uncultured bacterium. RNAcentral describes it as "bacterial SSU rRNA". It matches the Rfam family "Bacterial small subunit ribosomal RNA", at positions 44 to 715 of the family's 1533-position model. The record is from RNAcentral.
AUGCUUAACACAUGCAAGUCGAACGGUAACGCGGGGGCAACCCUGGCGACGAGAGGCGGACGGGUGAGGAACGCUUGGGAAUUUGCCCAUCAGCGGGGGACAACCCGGGGAAACCCGGGCUAAUACCGCAUACGCUCUAUGGAGGAAAGCCGGGGACCGCAAGGCCUGGCACUGAUGGAUGAGCCCAAGUCGGAUUAGCUAGUUGGCGGGGUAACGGCCCACCAAGGCGACGAUCCGUAGCUGGUCUGAGAGGACGAUCAGCCACACUGGGACUGAGACACGGCCCAGACUCCUACGGGAGGCAGCAGUGGGGAAUAUUGGACAAUGGGGGAAACCCUGAUCCAGCGACGCCGCGUGGGUGAAGAAGGCCUGCGGGUUGUAAAGCCCUUUCGGUAGGGACGAAAACUCUCGACCUAACACGUCGGGAGCUUGACUUAACCUACAAAAGAAGCACCGGCUAACUCUGUGCCAGCAGCCGCGGUAAUACAGAGGGUGCGAGCGUUAAUCGGAAUUACUGGGCGUAAAGCGCACGUAGGCGGCUUGGCAUGUCGGGUGUGAAAUCCCCGGGCUCAACCUGGGAACUGCAUCCGAAACUGCCUUGCUAGAGUAUGGGAGAGGGAAGUGGAAUUUCCGGUGUAGCGGUGAAAUGCGUAGAUAUCGGAAGGAACACCAGUGG